This is a non-coding RNA of Acanthosepion pharaonis, 110 nucleotides long. The record is from the annotation of a GenBank genome assembly. Lineage: Eukaryota; Metazoa; Mollusca; Cephalopoda; Sepiida; Sepiidae.
UUCGGCUAUAUUAGGUUGAAACACAGGUUCUUGUACGAUCACCGUAGUUAAGCAAAGUUGAGGCCAGAUUGUACCUAGAUGAGUGACCAUUAGGGAAUAUCAGGUGAUGA